CCUACGGGUGGCUGCAGUGGGGAAUAUUGGACAAUGGGCGAAAGCCUGAUCCAGCCAUGCCGCGUGUGUGAAGAAGGCCUUCGGGUUGUAAAGCACUUUCAGUGGGGAAGAAAGCCUUGGGGCUAAUACCCUCGAGGAAGGACAUCACCCACAGAAGAAGCACCGGCUAACUCCGUGCCAGCAGCCGCGGUAAUACGGAGGGUGCGAGCGUUAAUCGGAAUUACUGGGCGUAAAGCGCGCGUAGGCGGUCUGAUAAGCCGGUUGUGAAAGCCCCGGGCUCAACCUGGGAACGGCAUCCGGAACUGUCAGGCUAGAGUGCAGGAGAGGAAGGUAGAAUUCCCGGUGUAGCGGUGAAAUGCGUAGAGAUCGGGAGGAAUACCAGUGGCGAAGGCGGCCUUCUGGACUGACACUGACGCUGAGGUGCGAAAGCGUGGGUAGCAAACAGGAUUAGAUACCCCUGAAGUC
This 465-nucleotide ribosomal RNA is filed under the name Vreelandella stevensii. RNAcentral's name for it is "partial 16S ribosomal RNA". It matches the Rfam family "Bacterial small subunit ribosomal RNA", at positions 338 to 795 of the family's 1533-position model. The record is from RNAcentral. Lineage: Bacteria; Pseudomonadati; Pseudomonadota; Gammaproteobacteria; Oceanospirillales; Halomonadaceae.